CAGCAGCCGCGGGAAAACGUAGGUGGCAAGCGUUGUCCGGAAUUAUUGGGCGUAAAGCGCGCGCAGGUGGUUUAAUAAGUCUGAUGUGAAAGCCCACGGCUCAACCGUGGAGGGUCAUUGGAAACUGUUAAACUUGAGUGCAGGAGAGAAAAGUGGAAUUCCCAGUGUAGCGGUGAAAUGCGUAGAGAUUAGGAGGAACACCAGUGGCGAAGGCGGCUUUUUGGCCUGUAACUGACACUGAGGCGCGAAAGCGUGGGGAGCAAACAGGAUUAGAGACCCCAGUAGUCCCUGUCUCUUAUAC
Molecule: ribosomal RNA, 301 nt
Filed under: uncultured bacterium
Lineage: Bacteria
Description: partial 16S ribosomal RNA
Rfam family: Bacterial small subunit ribosomal RNA
Source: RNAcentral